UUCACUAAAACCAAACCAUAUAUGAGUUACAGCAGGUUCUGCUCCGUCCGUAAACUGCAGCUGCCUGUCCUAUCAUCCUCAGAUAUAAAAAAAAAAAAAACCCUCCAGCUGUCUCGUCACUCUCUGCUACAUCACCAACUGGAAGUUAUCAUUGCACUGUCUGUAUUUCACUAACCUAUGGCUGUCACAUUAGACUGUGCUAUUCCACUAACCUAUGGCUGUCACAUCCCACUCUGCUAUUCUACUAACCUAUGGCUGUCACAUUAGACUGUGC
Pelobates cultripes (western spadefoot toad) is the source of this 274-nucleotide non-coding RNA. The record is from the annotation of a GenBank genome assembly. NCBI's taxonomy places the organism in Eukaryota, Metazoa, Chordata, Amphibia, Anura, Pelobatidae.